GGGAACGUACCCUUCGGUUCAGAAUAACUCAGGGAAACUUGAGCUAAUACCGGAUACGCCCUUUUGGGGAAAGGUUUACUGCCGAAGGAUCGGCCCGCGUCUGAUUAGCUUGUUGGUGGGGUAACGGCCUACCAAGGCGACGAUCAGUAGCUGGUCUGAGAGGAUGAUCAGCCACACUGGGACUGAGACACGGCCCAGACUCCUACGGGAGGCAGCAGUGGGGAAUAUUGGACAAUGGGCGCAAGCCUGAUCCAGCCAUGCCGCGUGAGUGAUGAAGGCCUUAGGGUUGUAAAGCUCUUUUGUCCGGGACGAUAAUGACGGUACCGGAAGAAUAAGCCCCGGCUAACUUCGUGCCAGCAGCCGCGGUAAUACGAAGGGGGCUAGCGUUGCUCGGAAUCACUGGGCGUAAAGGGCGCGUAGGCGGCCGAUUAAGUCGGGGGUGAAAGCCUGUGGCUCAACCACAGAAUUGCCUUCGAUACUGGUUGGCUUGAGACCGGAAGAGGACAGCGGAACUGCGAGU
RNAcentral lists this ribosomal RNA (520 nucleotides) under uncultured bacterium. RNAcentral describes it as "bacterial SSU rRNA". It matches the Rfam family "Bacterial small subunit ribosomal RNA", at positions 120 to 674 of the family's 1533-position model. The record is from RNAcentral.